This is a small nuclear RNA of 170 nucleotides. It matches the Rfam family "U2 spliceosomal RNA". Rfam says of the family: U2 is a small nuclear RNA (snRNA) component of the spliceosome (involved in pre-mRNA splicing). Complementary binding between U2 snRNA (in an area lying towards the 5' end but 3' to hairpin I) and the branchpoint sequence (BPS) of the intron results the bulging out of an unpaired adenosine, on the BPS, which initiates a nucleophilic attack at the intronic 5' splice site, thus starting the first of two transesterification reactions that mediate splicing. The record is from Rfam.
GUCACUUUCGCGGUAUUCUAACCUUGUACUACAGAAUCUCUGAAACGUGGCUACGGCCACUUCAAUGAUUAUACUUAUUUUUGGCCUUGGAUGGGCGGCCGCUGGGCUUGCCUAUGUCGCCUGUCACCGUGUCGCUGGUAUCGCACUACCUCCAGCUGACGCGACCUCCU